This 560-nucleotide ribosomal RNA is filed under the name uncultured bacterium. RNAcentral describes it as "partial 16S ribosomal RNA". It matches the Rfam family "Bacterial small subunit ribosomal RNA", at positions 355 to 912 of the family's 1533-position model. The record is from RNAcentral.
UGGGGAAUUUUGGACAAUGGGCGAAAGCCUGAUCCAGCAAUGCCGCGUGUGUGAAGAAGGCCUUCGGGUUGUAAAGCACUUUUGUCCGGAAAGAAAUCCUUGGCUCUAAUACAGUCGGGGGAUGACGGUACCGGAAGAAUAAGCACCGGCUAACUACGUGCCAGCAGCCGCGGUAAUACGUAGGGUGCAAGCGUUAAUCGGAAUUACUGGGCGUAAAGCGUGCGCAGGCGGUUUGCUAAGACCGAUGUGAAAUCCCCGGGCUCACUGGGAACUGCAUUGGUGACUGGCAGGCUAGAGUAUGGCAGAGGGGGUAGAAUUCCACGUGUAGCAGUGAAAUGCGUAGAGAUGUGGAGGAAUACCGAUGGCGAAGGCAGCCCCCUGGGCCAAUACUGACGCUCAUGCACGAAAGCGUGGGGAGCAAACAGGAUUAGAUACCCUGGUAGUCCACGCCCUAAACGAUGUCAACUAGUUGUUGGGGAUUCAUUCCUUAGUAACGUAGCUAACGCGUGAAGUUGACCGCCUGGGGAGUACGGUCGCAAGAUUAAAACUCAAAUGAAUUG